Molecule: ribosomal RNA, 422 nt
Filed under: uncultured bacterium
Lineage: Bacteria
Description: bacterial SSU rRNA
Rfam family: Bacterial small subunit ribosomal RNA
Source: RNAcentral
UGAGGAAUAUUGGUCAAUGGGGGCAACCCUGAACCAGCCAAGUCGCGUGAAGGAUGAGGGUCUUAUGGAUUGUAAACUUCUUUUACACGGGAAUAAAGUGGGGGACGUGUCCCCCUUUGCAUGUACCGUGUGAAUAAGGAUCGGCUAACUCCGUGCCAGCAGCCGCGGUAAUACGGAGGAUCCGAGCGUUAUCCGGAUUUAUUGGGUUUAAAGGGUGCGCAGGCGGGAUGUUAAGUCGGCGGUGAAAUUUUGCAGCUCAACUGUAAAAGUGCCUUCGAUACUGGCCUCCUUGAGUGUGGAUGAAGUAGGCGGAAUUUGUGGUGUAGCGGUGAAAUGCUUAGAUAUCACGAGGAACUCCGAUUGCGCAGGCAGCUUACUAAGCCACAACUGACGCUCAUGCACGAAGGCGUGGGGAUCAAACA